This is a non-coding RNA of Cicer arietinum (chickpea), 516 nucleotides long. Lineage: Eukaryota; Viridiplantae; Streptophyta; Magnoliopsida; Fabales; Fabaceae. The record is from RefSeq and is a predicted model, not a curated record.
ACUUUUUUAACGCGGUUAUAUUAAUAAUCGACUUAAAACAUACUACAAUAACAUAACAUACGGUGCGUUUGUGUAAGGCAUAUUUAUUGCAACUUUUUAGCUUCCACCUUUGUUAACUAUUCUAUUAUAAAUCUUUCGUAUUCUCUAACAAUAUUUUCAUCACACUCAUCGCCCAACUCAGUUUUUAUCGUCGUCAAUCAGUUUCAUCGCCACCUUUUUCAGCCAAACCGCUUCACGCCACCUUUUUCACAAUCGCCAAACAGCUUUAUCGCCACCAUUUCAGAUCUUUGAUGACUCGAGAUCAAUUCACCCGGAUCAAAGUAAAGAAGUUCGAAAAUGUUGUGUGAAUUUUAUUUUGAAAUUAAUUGAAGAAAAUAAUGAUACUAAUAUAUGUCUAUUGAAUAUUGCUAUAUUGUGAUUUUGUAAUUUUGUUAAUGGAUAUCUAAUUUUUUUUUCCCGUGUUGUCAAGAUUAGUCGGAAAUGAGAUACAUGUACUCUUAUAUUUUUUUGUAUAAA